GCACACUCUACAAAAGCCUGACUGGAGAUUUGCCUGAUCUAUCCAUCCUUCAGGUGACAGCGGCUCACUUAUAGAGCAGGUGAAGCAAGUUGGGACAAUGUUGAAGACGUUUGCUCACACUGGGCAAUCAGGAACCCCUGUAGGUGCAGAUCAGACCCUAAUGCUGCGAUGUCUUGGAGAGUUUGGCGUUGCUUGACAACAGUUUGAGGCAGGAUAAAAGCUCCAGUAACGAUUUCUUCGGUUUUUGGCAAUCAAAUGUGGGAGGGACCUAAAGACAACUGUGUGGCGAAUGCUUCAGAGUAUCUUCUCUAAUCACCUUUCCAUCGAUACAACCUGGUCUGGUGUAGGGGAUAAAGCAUGUUUUAGAAACAUGUUCCUGAAGACCAUUGUUCAAAGAGCCAUCUGGAAGAACCCGGCAACCCAGGAUGCCACUGAUGAGGCGAUCCAGGUUAACGUUACGUGUUACCUGAAAGGAGCAUCUGAACGUGAAGGUGG
This is a long non-coding RNA of Xyrauchen texanus (razorback sucker), 495 nucleotides long. RefSeq lists it as uncharacterized. The record is from RefSeq and is a predicted model, not a curated record. NCBI's taxonomy places the organism in Eukaryota, Metazoa, Chordata, Actinopteri, Cypriniformes, Catostomidae. The transcript is spliced from 5 exons.